This is a long non-coding RNA of Puntigrus tetrazona (Sumatra barb), 516 nucleotides long. RefSeq lists it as uncharacterized. NCBI's taxonomy places the organism in Eukaryota, Metazoa, Chordata, Actinopteri, Cypriniformes, Cyprinidae. The record is from RefSeq and is a predicted model, not a curated record. The transcript has 3 exons.
GCUGUAGCAGAGCACCCGUAUGCGCACGGCGUCUUCAUAUGAUACCAGAUCCGCGUCCCUACAGUAGAUAGACACACUAGUCCUUAAUUCUGCGGCUGCACUCUUGAAUCACGGUGAUCCCCUGAUCACAAACCCUUUGCAUUUGCUAUGUGCUGACCGGUAGGCACGAAAACCAGGAGUUACUGUUUAACAGGAAAGGGAAGCCGAAGGACGAAGCGUUUACACUUGGCGAAGGUGUUCUUCAUCUCCAGCGCUUCCCACUAUACGGACACCAGAGCAAAAGAGCAGCGGAUCCUCCUCAUCCACACGACUGCAUAUCAACAUAACGGAGCCGCUGAGGUUUAAAUCUUAAGGAGAUGGGACUUGGGCCUCUGCCCAAAGGAGAACGAUUCCAUCUCUGCCCCUAUAGCUGUGACCGGUUUGCCGUGAGGCCCCGUACCCCCCUCUAAUGAUCUCUCUAUAGCCCGGUCCACAACUGUGCAGUCAUGUUCAGGAACAGUCUGAAGAUGCUGCUUG